CCUACGGGAGGCAGCAGUGGGGAAUAUUGCGCAAUGGGCGAAAGCCUGACGCAGCGACGCCGCGUGGGGGAUGAAGGUCUUCGGAUCGUAAACCUCUGUCAGCAGGGAAGAACGGUCACUGUGCUAAUCAGCAGUGAAUUGAUGGUACCUGCAAAGGAAGCACCGGCUAACUCCGUGCCAGCAGCCGCGGUAAUACGGAGGGUGCGAGCGUGAACCGGAAUUACUGGGCGUAAGGCGCUCGUAGACGGUAUGUCAAGUCAAGGGUGAAAUCCCCGCGCUCAACGUGGGAACUGCAUUUGAAACUGGCUAGCUGGAGUGUGGGAGAGGAUGGUGGAAUUCCAGGUGUAGGAGUGAAAUCCGUAGAUAUCUGGAGGAACAUCAGUGGCGAAGGCGACUAUCUGGCACAUAACUGACGCUGAGGAGCGAAAGCGUGGGUAGCAAACAGGAUUAGAUACCCUUGUAGUC
This 465-nucleotide ribosomal RNA is filed under the name uncultured bacterium. RNAcentral's name for it is "partial 16S ribosomal RNA". It matches the Rfam family "Bacterial small subunit ribosomal RNA", at positions 338 to 795 of the family's 1533-position model. The record is from RNAcentral.